This 253-nucleotide ribosomal RNA is filed under the name uncultured bacterium. RNAcentral's name for it is "partial 16S ribosomal RNA". It matches the Rfam family "Bacterial small subunit ribosomal RNA", at positions 524 to 776 of the family's 1533-position model. The record is from RNAcentral.
UACGUAGGUGGCAAGCGUUGUCCGGAAUUAUUGGGCGUAAAGCGCGCGCAGGCGGUCCCUUAAGUCUGAUGUGAAAGCCCACGGCUCAACCGUGGAGGGUCAUUGGAAACUGGGGGACUUGAGUGCAGAAGAGGGAAGUGGAAUUCCAUGUGUAGCGGUGAAAUGCGUAGAGAUGUGGAGGAACACCAGUGGCGAAGGCGACUUUCUGGUCUGUAACUGACGCUGAGGCGCGAAAGCGUGGGGAGCAAACAGG